This 636-nucleotide ribosomal RNA is filed under the name Triticum aestivum (bread wheat). RNAcentral's name for it is "partial small subunit ribosomal RNA". Lineage: Eukaryota; Viridiplantae; Streptophyta; Magnoliopsida; Poales; Poaceae. The record is from RNAcentral.
AUGCCCAAGAUCCUGCGCUACUACCUCGACGACUCCAUGUCGUUGGUACCGCAUGGCGCCGCAGGGAGCAUGGUGAUGCUCUCGUUGCCGCCGCUCACGACGGAGAACUACACGGUGUGGGCGAUCAAGGCGGAGGCUAUCCUCGACGCCUCGAGCCUUUGGGAGGCCGUGUCUCCGACGGACGUCGCGGCGGUGGAUGGGAAGAAGGACAAGACGGCGAAGGCGCAACUCUUCGGCGCGCUCUCGGAGGACCUUCUCAUGCAGGUGUCGACAAAGAAGAUGGCGAAGGAGGUGUGGGACAGCCUCAAGACGAGGUUCGUCGGUGCCGACCGUGUCAAGGCGGCGCGGCUCUCCACUCUUUGCGGGGAGUUUGACAAGUUGCGCAUGGAGGAGGGCGAGUCACUGGACGUGUACGCCGGCAAGAUCGGCGGCAUGGCGAUGAGGUACGCCGGCCUCGGCUCCACGCUCGGCGACGCCGCCAUGGUGAAGAAGCUCCUCGACACGGUGCCCGACCGGUUGUAUUCCGCGGUGGCCGGGAUCGAGCAGUUCUGCGACAUGGAGACCAUGGCAUUCGAGGAGGCGCUGAGCAGGCUCAAGGCGUUCGACGAGCGCUUACGGCGACACACGCAGGACGGC